This 425-nucleotide ribosomal RNA is filed under the name uncultured bacterium. RNAcentral describes it as "partial 16S ribosomal RNA". It matches the Rfam family "Bacterial small subunit ribosomal RNA", at positions 354 to 796 of the family's 1533-position model. The record is from RNAcentral.
GUGGGGAAUCUUGCGCAAUGGGCGAAAGCCUGACGCAGCCAUGCCGCGUGGAUGAUGAAGGUCUUAGGAUUGUAAAAUCCUUUCACCGGUGAAGAUAAUGACUGUAGCCGGAGAAGAAGCCCCGGCUAACUUCGUGCCAGCAGCCGCGGUAAUACGAAGGGGGCUAGCGUUGCUCGGAUUUACUGGGCGUAAAGGGCGCGUAGGCGGACAUUUAAGUCAGGGGUGAAAUCCCGGGGCUCAAACGCGGAACUGCCUUUGAUACUGGGUGUCUUGAGUAUGAGAGAGGUGUGUGGAACUCCGAGUGUAGAGGUGAAAUUCGUAGAUAUUCGGAAGAACACCAGUGGCGAAGGCGACACACUGGCUCAUUACUGACGCUGAGGCGCGAAAGCGUGGGGAGCAAACAGGAUUAGAAACCCUUGUAGUCC